UGGGGAAUAUUGCACAAUGGACGGAAGUCUGAUGCAGCAACGCCGCGUGCGGGAUGACGGCCUUCGGGUUGUAAACCGCUUUUUCUCAUGACGAAGUUUUUUGACGGUAGUGGGGGAAGAAGCACCGGCUAACUACGUGCCAGCAGCCGCGGUGAUACGUAGGGUGCGAGCGUUGUCCGGAAUUAUUGGGCGUAAAGAGCUUGUAGGUGGUUUGUCGCGUCUGUCGUGAAAUCCUGUGGCUUAACCAUGGGCUUGCGGUGGGUACGGGCAGGCUUGAGUGCGGUAGGGGAGACUGGAAUUCCUGGUGUAGCGGUGGAAUGCGCAGAUAUCAGGAGGAACACCGGUGGCGAAGGCGGGUCUCUGGGCCGUUACUGACACUGAGGAGCGAAAGCGUGGGGAGCGAACAGG
RNAcentral lists this ribosomal RNA (408 nucleotides) under Fusobacteriota bacterium. RNAcentral's name for it is "Fusobacteria bacterium partial 16S ribosomal RNA". It matches the Rfam family "Bacterial small subunit ribosomal RNA", at positions 355 to 776 of the family's 1533-position model. Lineage: Bacteria; Fusobacteriati; Fusobacteriota. The record is from RNAcentral.